AUGCACGCUGGCGGCGUGCUUAACACAUUCCAGUCGCACGAUGAAGCCCAGCUUGCUGGGUGGAUUAGUGGCGAACGGGUGAGUAACACGUGAGUAACCUGCCCUUGACUCUGGGAUAAGCCCGGGAAACUGGGUCUAAUACCGGAUAGGAGCGCCUGUCGCAUGACGGGUGUUGGAAAGAUUUUUCGGUCAUGGAUGGACUCGCGGCCUAUCAGCUUGUUGGUGAGGUAAUGGCUCACCAAGGCGACGACGGGUAGCCGGCCUGAGAGGGUGACCGGCCACACUGGGACUGAGACACGGCCCAGACUCCUACGGGAGGCAGCAGUGGGGAAUAUUGCACAAUGGGCGGAAGCCUGAUGCAGCGACGCCGCGUGAGGGAUGACGGCCUUCGGGUUGUAAACCUCUUUCAGUAGGGAAGAAGCGAAAGUGACGGUACCUGCAGAAGAAGCACCGGCUAACUACGUG
RNAcentral lists this ribosomal RNA (465 nucleotides) under uncultured bacterium. RNAcentral's name for it is "partial 16S ribosomal RNA". It matches the Rfam family "Bacterial small subunit ribosomal RNA", at positions 29 to 507 of the family's 1533-position model. The record is from RNAcentral.